This 301-nucleotide ribosomal RNA is filed under the name uncultured bacterium. Its description in RNAcentral is "partial 16S ribosomal RNA". It matches the Rfam family "Bacterial small subunit ribosomal RNA", at positions 509 to 809 of the family's 1533-position model. The record is from RNAcentral.
CAGUCGCCACGGGAAUACGAAGGGGGCUAGCGUUGUUCGGAUUUACUGGGCGUAAAGCGCACGUAGGCGGACUUUUAAGUCAGGGGUGAAAUCCCGGGGCUCAACCCCGGAACUGCCUUUGAUACUGGAAGUCUUGAGUAUGGUAGAGGUGAGUGGAAUUCCGAGUGUAGAGGUGAAAUUCGUAGAUAUUCGGAGGAACACCAGUGGCGAAGGCGGCUCACUGGACCAUUACUGACGCUGAGGUGCGAAAGCGUGGGGAGCAAACAGGAUUAGAUACCCCUGUAGUCCCUGUCUCUUAUAA